UUAAAGCAAUAAACAUCUACAUUAAAAAAGAAGAAAGAUCCCAAAUAAACAGCCUAAUGUUACACUGCAAGGAACUAGAAAUAGAUGAAUAAACUAAACCUAAAGAAAAAUGUGGUUUUUAUUCCUCGUCAUAUGAAGCUAAUCUCUCUUAACUUUCAUUUUCUUAGCUUCUAAGUGGGAAUAAUGAAAUGUUUCUUGUAGGAUUAUUUUGAAAUUUAUUGAUAAUAGAUAGGAUGUAUGUGACCCAAUGGCAGCCCUUGCUCACUCUGCACUAACCGUGCAUGACUAUUUUUCAUUUUUUCAACGGGCAGAACUUAUUUUUAGCUUGUGGUCAACUAAGAUCUUCUGAGUUUUUUUUUUUUUUUAAACCUAGGCAAACUGAGGUCUUUCUAUCCUAAAUAUAUGUAAUUGAUUUUUUUUUAGAAACUUAAUGCAGGUCUUUAACAUUUAUCCCUUUAAAACAGCUGACUUAGGGCCUUACCACAAACAGCUCUCCUGGUAUGGAAUGUUCUUCCUCCUGACCUUCCCAUGGCUGUCUCUCUCUCUUUUUUUAAUCAUUCAGGUCUCAGUUUACAUGGCAUCCUUUCAGCAAGACCUUGCCUGAUGAUUCAAUCCAAUGCUGCAUCCAAGUCACUCUCUGUUAUACUCUGCUUCUGUUCUCAUUUCUUUAGUUGCUUAUCAUCCAUUACCCACCCCACCUCAGCCUGGCCAGCCUGCACUUAUAAGAACACCUAGCACAAAAUGAAAAGUCAAUGAAUAUUUGUUGGAAGAAUAAAUAAUAGUCAUUCUUCUUUUGUUAUUGAGAAAAAGUUCUUAAUAUUGGUUCAUUCCUACAAGAUGCCUUAACAUCAAGGAAAAGAAGUUAUUUUCACUUCCUAUCAGCAUUAGCCUCACAUUCUUUAAAAAUAGUUUUUUAUUAAAGUUUUUUUUUAUAGUAGCAUAUAGAAAGUUGAACUUUUUCAGAAGAAUCAUUGGAUGAUGUGCUUUGAGGCAGGCAGCCUAACAGAUAAUCUUUCUACACCCCCAGGGACAAGAACCAGGGGUUCUUCCUGCUCUUAGAUAAACUAUAGUGUGAGGUGAGCUAUUGGGAAGAAGAAGUGAAUAGAAAAUAAGCAAAGGAGGCCAAAUUUUUGUCACUGAUUCAGUAUAGCAGCUAAGGGAUAGGGAGAAUUGAAGAAGUCCUGAAGUUCUGGCUUAGGCCACUGGAUGGAUAGUGGUGUUAUUUGGCAAUAUAAAAGCACUGUAUAAAAGCAGGCAGAAGAGGAGAAGCAAGAUCAGGAGAAGUGAGAAGAUCCAAGCACAGUUGGGGAGAAUAGGUUUGGUGCUCAGGGAUGGGUCCAGACUAGACUGAAAGAUCUGGGGCUUCUUCUGCAGGUGGCAGUUGAAGUUAUGGGAGCAGUUAAGAUCACUAAGUAGUGUCGGAGAGUGAGCAAAGAGGGGUAAGGACUGGAUCUUCAGUCACAGUAACAUGGAGAGUCAGGAAGAUAAGAGGGGACUGGAAAGGGCUAGCCAGGGGUUUAGGGGAACCAAGAGAGUGGCAUCAGAGAAGCCAAAGGAAGAGUGUAUAGUCAACGAUGUCAGAUGCUGAAAGAUGGCAAGUUCUUAGACCAGAAAUGAGUCCACUGAUUUGCCAAUCUGUGGUCCUUGGUGACCUUUGGCAGUCACAGUUUCAGAGUUGGUGGUGGUGAUGGGUGGGGGCAGAACUUAGAAAGCAGUGGGCUGAGUAAAGAAAUGAAAGAAGAGAGAUCUCAUCUGUCUAUGUUCUUUAAGAUGUGGUAGUCUGUUGCACUACAGUGGAACUGCUAGGAAAGUGCUGCUUUUAGCAAUCAUAUUAUAUAUGCUGGUGGCUCAGUUUCAGCUUGUGGUCAUCUAAGAUCUUCUGACUUUUUUUUAAACCUUGGCAAGCCAGGGUCUUUCUAUCUGAAAUGUACAUAAUCGAUUAUUUUUAAAACCUUUAAUGCAGGCCUUUAACAUUUAUCUCUUUCAAAUAGUACCUUAUUAGUGUAAGCCAAAUUUUCCAAACAUAUUCUAAAGCUAAUUUCAUCAUUGUUUGCUUUAUAGUCCUGCCUAGGACCUUACUUUUUAAGAUGCCUGGUUCUCUUCCUUAGAAACUAGGGAUGGCGGUGUUCCUGUUACUAUAAUUUGUGCAUGGAAAACUAGAUUGAGCUCAAUUUCAUUCCUGGGAAACAACAACUUUCUUAGCUAAAAUAUAAACCCUAACUGGAAAGCAACUGACCAGAGGUUAAGAAUUGCAUUUUGAAAUAGUAAUUGACCACAAAUCAAAAGACAUGUACUAUUUAAUGUGCUUGAUUGAUUUCAAGCUUCCAAAUCCUCAAAGCUAAAAACUGUCAUCAUAAUGUACUUAGUUAAUGGGUGACUGUAUUUUUAGAAAAGCUUUUGACAAAAGGCUAGAAAAAGACUUAAAUGCAUAAACCAGGGUAUUUUCUUGCCUGAGUAUUCCAUUAAUUGAGAUUUUAUACUUAACACCUUUUUUUUAAGUUUUACAAAGGACCAUGAAAUUGUGAUCCCUGUGAGGUAGAUGGGCUAUUUUUAUUUCACUUCUAAGAAGAUCAAGGUAUAAGGUACCUAUUUCCUCGGAUGUUAUGAACCCAAAGAAUAUAAUGAUGACAUUUUGAUUUUCCACCCAGGCCUUUUGCCAUGACUUUCCCAGCACUCACGUCAGAUAUCUUCAUUCACAAUUUAAAAAGAAGAGUUAUGUCUCAAGGAGAAAAAUCUAGGUAGGAACAGAUAGAAACAGUUUUACAUAGAGCUCAGCUAAUUGUGUGAAGUUGGUGGUCAUGAAACUGUGGGACUCUGAAUGUUGGUUACACCAAGGCGCAAUGUGGGCAGAAGAUGCUUCCUCCAGGCAGCUUGGGCAAACUGUUUAGUGCAACACCCUUGCUGUGUAGGCUUAUUUUUAGCAGAAACAGGGACCUUGAACUCAUCAGCUCAUUUUGAGUUCAAUAUGAAAUCUGAACCUAGACCCGAGAAGAUGCCUACCUGUGUCCCCACCCGCCCCCUUGGUGUGCUGCCAGAAAAUGUUUACUCAGAGCAGCAGCUGAAGUCUGUUUGGGAACCUGCAGCCUGUGUACAUCCGACUAGUGACCAAGAUGCUUGGGUGUGUGCUGACUCAUUUAAGAACAACUGAUUUAGAGAGCUGCUGGGGUGUGGGUGUUAGUGUGCUGUGGUUCAUUUUCCAGCAUGCUACCAGAAAAGCACUGGAUGGAAGUGGCAAAUGACAAAGUCAAAACACAGUUACUGUACUGUUCAGAAUAUAGACAGCAAUUUCCUUUCUAAAUCUGUCUUUUAGGAUGCCCUAGUCAUUAGCAUCUGGAUUUGGCAAUAUUUUAGAAAUAUUUAAAUAUAGCUAUGUUUAAUGAGCACUUACCACAUGCUAGGCAUUUUUCUAAAUGUUUUACAGGCGUUAAAUCAUUUAGUUCUCAUAGCCACACUCUGAGUUAUCUGUUCUCAUCUGUCAUCAUGGCCAUCUUGCAGUUGGGGACAGCUGAGGCUUGGGGAUAUGUAAUUAGCUUAAAGAUACCAGAGUAUCUGUGGCAGAGCAUGAUAUAAAUCUAGGUCUGACUCAAUGUCAGACUCAAUAUGACUCAAGUCUAUAUUGUUAACCUGUUAAAUGUUACUGAGGUUUUGGUGCUAUUUAAAUAGAAAUAAAUGGGUUGUGCUUAAUGUUCAGUAAAUACAAUUUCUAUACCACUUUCUGAUUUUUUUUGUAUAUGGAUAUAUAUGAAAUAGAAGUCAAGCGUUUGUCCAUUUAAUCUGAAAAUGUGCACUCAAUUGUGAUUAGGUGUAGGAAGAUGGUGCGACGAUCUUUUUACACGUGAUGGAUUCUUAAGUCUUUUUAAUUCUUUCAGGUGGCUGAUCUCUGUUCAGGGAUAUGUCAAACAACCCUUCUUUCUCCAGCAGGCAAGAGGCAGGUCUGGGUGGGACACUCUGGGCUGGGCUGGGCCUAGCUUCUGGAAACACCCAGGGAUCCCUUAAGUCAUAGCCUAAGUCAGGGUCCUGGGGCCAUUGAGAACUCUUCAUGGUUAAGAAGGGGGGAUACCUGAGGGUAAGUUAAUUACUCCAAUGGCAUAAAUCAGUGUUUCAGACAUACAUUUAAUCAUCUGUAACAACUUUUGUUGACCCUAUCUUAAGGUCAUUUGAAUCUUUUUCCAGAAGCCUAUUGCUCUUGGCAAUCUGAGGGAUGGGGCAGUUAGAGACAGAGGGCUUUGACCCAUAUGUCUCAGGCCUCAUCAGCAUGACUACAGAAUAGAGACAUUUAUUUAUUUAUUUUGUAAUUGCCUAAAUUACGAAAUUGUGUACUCCCCUCCUUUUCUUGCCCAAAUGCUAAAAACUGGAACCCCCUACCUCAACUGCUCUCUCAGUAUUCUGAGAGCUCUCAGUGUCAGGUUUCACUGUUCCUCCCUCCUCCACUCCCCAGGUCUCUGUCUUCCUCUGCGCUGUCAUGACCUUCGGGGCUGGGCUGCUGUGAUCAUCCCUGCCACCUUCCAGAGACCACUCUCAUACCCUCUGCUUGAUCUCAGAAAAUAGACCUCUGCCCUCCUGUUUUCCAGCUUGUCUGAACUGUAUGUAGCACAGGCCCUUCCAUAAUUCCCCGUAAUACAACUGAGGCCAACCACGUUGCCUGUCCUGAGAAAACUCAAAGACAAUGGUGCCAAGGAAGAACAGAAUUUCAUAAAUGAAGAAUGACAGAUGGCACUAAGAGUUCAAGUAAGAAGAGUCUUGGAGAUUCUCAGCAAACAAUCUCAGUUAAGAAAGAGGAAAUGAAGUUAUUUAUGUGACUGAAUUUGCAUAGCAGAGACUACAGUUCCACCAAAUACUCGAUGAGAAAAUGAGUCUCGACUUGCAGAGCCAAGAUGACCAAAUAGGAACAGCUCCAGUCUACAGCUCCCAGCCUGAGCGACGCAGAAGAUGGGUGAUUUCUGCAUUUCCAUCUGAGGUACCGGGUU
RNAcentral lists this long non-coding RNA (4967 nucleotides) under Homo sapiens (human). RNAcentral's name for it is "HSALNT0368966". Lineage: Eukaryota; Metazoa; Chordata; Mammalia; Primates; Hominidae. The record is from RNAcentral.